This 474-nucleotide ribosomal RNA is filed under the name uncultured bacterium. Its description in RNAcentral is "bacterial SSU rRNA". It matches the Rfam family "Bacterial small subunit ribosomal RNA", at positions 36 to 518 of the family's 1533-position model. The record is from RNAcentral.
CUGGCGGCGUGCCUAACACAUGCAAGUCGAACGGGACUCAGCUGAUGGUAACUGAUGUUGAGUUUAGUGGCGGACGGGUGAGUAACGCGUGAGUAACCUGCCUUUCAGUGGGGGACAACAGAGGGAAACUUCUGCUAAUACCGCAUGAUACAGCGAGAUCGCAUGGUCUUGCUAGUCAAAGAUUUAUCGCUGAAAGAUGGACUCGCGUAUGAUUAGAUAGGUUGGUGAGGUAACGGCCCACCAAGUCGACGAUCAUUAGCCGGACUGAGAGGUUGAACGGCCACAUUGGGACUGAGACACGGCCCAGACUCCUACGGGAGGCAGCAGUGAGGAAUAUUGGGCAAUGGGCGCAAGCCUGACCCAGCAACGCCGCGUGAAGGAAGACGGUCUUCGGAUUGUAAACUUCUUUUGUCAGGGACGAAUAAUGACGGUACCUGGCGAAUAAGCCACGGCUAACUACGUGCCAGCCGCAGC